RNAcentral lists this long non-coding RNA (160 nucleotides) under Sus scrofa (pig). Its description in RNAcentral is "lncRNA (ENSSSCG00015036660.1)". Lineage: Eukaryota; Metazoa; Chordata; Mammalia; Artiodactyla; Suidae. The record is from RNAcentral.
UGAAUGUCCACGUGGUGCCCUUCUAAAGACAUGGAGAGAUGCAGGAAAAUAGAAUUUGCCUUGUGACCUUGACGUCUGUUUGGAUCCGGGAAGGUGACUGGCGUCUGGAACACGCUCCCUGGGCAGGAACUGUUUGCGCGCGGCCCGCAUCCGGGAUUUC